UGAUCUUAUUUUUGAUCAUCA
Molecule: non-coding RNA, 21 nt
Filed under: Caenorhabditis elegans
Lineage: Eukaryota; Metazoa; Nematoda; Chromadorea; Rhabditida; Rhabditidae
Source: RNAcentral